Molecule: ribosomal RNA, 253 nt
Filed under: uncultured bacterium
Lineage: Bacteria
Description: partial 16S ribosomal RNA
Rfam family: Bacterial small subunit ribosomal RNA
Source: RNAcentral
GACAGAGGGUGCAAACGUUGUUCGGAAUUACUGGGCGUAAAGCGAGUGUAGGCGGCCCUAUAAGUCAGGUGUGAAAGCCCUGGGCUCAACCCAGGAAGUGCACUUGAAACUGCAGGGCUAGAGUAUCGGAGAGGUUGGUGGAAUUCUCGGUGUAGAGGUGAAAUUCGUAGAUAUCGAGAGGAACACCGGUGGCGAAGGCGGCCAACUGGACGAAUACUGACGCUGAGACUCGAAAGCGUGGGGAGCAAACAGG